This 717-nucleotide ribosomal RNA is filed under the name uncultured Bacilli bacterium. RNAcentral's name for it is "bacterial SSU rRNA". It matches the Rfam family "Bacterial small subunit ribosomal RNA", at positions 46 to 744 of the family's 1533-position model. Lineage: Bacteria; Bacillati; Bacillota; Bacilli. The record is from RNAcentral.
GCCUAAUACAUGCAAGUCGAGCGAACAGAAAAGGAGCUUGCUCCUUUGACGUUAGCGGCGGACGGGUGAGUAACACGUGGGCAACCUACCCUAUAGUUUGGGAUAACUCCGGGAAACCGGGGCUAAUACCGAAUAAUCUCCUUUACUUCAUGGUGAAGGACUGAAAGACGGUUUCGGCUGUCGCUAUAGGAUGGGCCCGCGGCGCAUUAGCUAGUUGGUGAGGUAACGGCUCACCAAGGCGACGAUGCGUAGCCGACCUGAGAGGGUGAUCGGCCACACUGGGACUGAGACACGGCCCAGACUCCUACGGGAGGCAGCAGUAGGGAAUCUUCCACAAUGGGCGAAAGCCUGAUGGAGCAACGCCGCGUGAGUGAAGAAGGUUUUCGGAUCGUAAAACUCUGUUGUAAGGGAAGAACAAGUACAGUAGUAACUGGCUGUACCUUGACGGUACCUUAUUAGAAAGCCACGGCUAACUACGUGCCAGCAGCCGCGGUAAUACGUAGGUGGCAAGCGUUGUCCGGAAUUAUUGGGCGUAAAGCGCGCGCAGGCGGUCCUUUAAGUCUGAUGUGAAAGCCCACGGCUCAACCGUGGAGGGUCAUUGGAAACUGGGGGACUUGAGUGCAGAAGAGGAAAGUGGAAUUCCAAGUGUAGCGGUGAAAUGCGUAGAGGUUUGGAGGAACACCAGUGGCGAAGGCGACUUUCUGGUCUGUAACUGAC